RNAcentral lists this ribosomal RNA (335 nucleotides) under Rickettsiales bacterium. RNAcentral's name for it is "partial 23S ribosomal RNA". It matches the Rfam family "Bacterial large subunit ribosomal RNA", at positions 2584 to 2925 of the family's 2925-position model. The record is from RNAcentral. Lineage: Bacteria; Pseudomonadati; Pseudomonadota; Alphaproteobacteria; Rickettsiales.
CCGAUUAAAGUGGUACGUGAGCUGGGUUUAGAACGUCGUGAGACAGUUCGGUCCCUAUCUGCCGUGGGUGUAAAGAAAACUGAGAGGAGCUGCCUCUAGUACGAGAGGACCGAGGUGGACGUACCUCUGGUGUACCUGUUGUCACGCCAGUGGCAUAGCAGGGUAGCUACGUACGGACGGGAUAACCGCUGAAAGCAUCUAAGUGGGAAGCCCACCUCAAAACUAGUUUUCUCCAUAGGGUCGUGGUAGACCACCACGUUGAUAGGCCAGGUGUGUAAGUAUGGUAACAUAUUCAGCUAACUGGUACUAAUAACCCAAUUGACUUUUUUUUGCUG